CAGGCUUAACACAUGCAAGUCGAGGGGCAGCAUGGUCUUAGCUUGCUAAGGCCGAUGGCGACCGGCGCACGGGUGAGUAACACGUAUCCAACCUGCCGUCUACUCUUGGACAGCCUUCUGAAAGGAAGAUUAAUACAAGAUGGCAUCAUGAGUCCGCAUGUUCACAUGAUUAAAGGUAUUCCGGUAGACGAUGGGGAUGCGUUCCAUUAGAUAGUAGGCGGGGUAACGGCCCACCUAGUCUUCGAUGGGUAGGGGUUCUGAGAGGAAGGUCCCCCACAUUGGAACUGAGACACGGUCCAAACUCCUACGGGAGGCAGCAGUGAGGAAUAUUGGUCAAUGGGCGAGAGCCUGAACCAGCCAAGUAGCGUGAAGGAUGACUGCCCUAUGGGUUGUAAACUUCUUUUAUAAAGGAAUAAAGUCGGGUAUGGAUACCCGUUUGCAUGUACUUUAUGAAUAAGGAUCGGCUAACUCCGUGCCAGCAGCCGCGGUAAUACGGAGGAUCCGAGCGUUAUCCGGAUUUAUUGGGUUUAAAGGGAGCGUAGAUGGAUGUUUAAGUCAGUUGUGAAAGUUUGCGGCUCAACCGUAAAAUUGCAGUUGAUACUGGAUAUCUUGAGUGCAGUUGAGGCAGGCGGAAUUCGUGGUGUAGCGGUGAAAUGCUUAGAUAUCACGAAGAACUCCGAUUGCGAAGGCAGCCUGCUAAGCUGCAACUGACAUUGAGGCUCGAAAGUGUGGGUAUCAAACAGGAUUAGAUACCCUGGUAGUCCACACGGUAAACGAUGAAUACUCGCUGUUUGCGAUAUACUGCAAGCGGCCAAGCGAAAGCGUUAAGUAUUCCACCUGGGGAGUACGCCGGCAACGGUGAAACUCAAAGGAAUUGACGGGGGCCCGCACAAGCGGAGGAACAUGUGGUUUAAUUCGAUGAUACGCGAGGAACCUUACCCGGGCUUAAAUUGCAGAUGAAUUACGGUGAAAGCCGUAAGCCGCAAGGCAUCUGUGAAGGUGCUGCAUGGUUGUCGUCAGCUCGUGCCGUGAGGUGUCGGCUUAAGUGCCAUAACGAGCGCAACCCUUGUUGUCAGUUACUAACAGGUUCCGCUGAGGACUCUGACAAGACUGCCAUCGUAAGAUGUGAGGAAGGUGGGGAUGACGUCAAAUCAGCACGGCCCUUACGUCCGGGGCUACACACGUGUUACAAUGGGGGGUACAGAGGGCCGCUACCACGCGAGUGGAUGCCAAUCCCCAAAACCUCUCUCAGUUCGGACUGGAGUCUGCAACCCGACUCCACGAAGCUGGAUUCGCUAGUAAUCGCGCAUCAGCCACGGCGCGGUGAAUACGUUCCCGGGCCUUGUACACACCGCCCGUCAAGCCAUGGGAGCCGGGGGUACCUGAAGUGCGUAACCGCGAGGAGCGCCCUAGGGUAAAACUGGUGACUGGGGCUAAGA
Molecule: ribosomal RNA, 1439 nt
Filed under: uncultured organism
Description: SSU rRNA
Rfam family: Bacterial small subunit ribosomal RNA
Source: RNAcentral